RNAcentral lists this ribosomal RNA (447 nucleotides) under Triticum aestivum (bread wheat). RNAcentral's name for it is "partial small subunit ribosomal RNA". The record is from RNAcentral. Lineage: Eukaryota; Viridiplantae; Streptophyta; Magnoliopsida; Poales; Poaceae.
AUGGUUGCUCAGAUCUGGACCAGCUGCUCCUCCUACUGCUUCAGGUGGACGAGGACGAGCCCUCCAUCAUCGCUGCUGCGGCUGCCUACUCCCUCCUCCUACCUCCUGGCCUGGUGUGAUGCUAUCUUGCGUACGACUGAGCAGUCUCGGAUAUACUUCAACCCAGACAUCAACGCAACAAAUAACUUGAUUAUAAGGAACAAAUGUCAUGUGAAGCAAAUAAUUUCCUUAGAAAAAAGAGGGCCAAGAAAAAGACGCAAAAGCAUAGCUUGCUCCUUGAUUCCAGUUUCUGUAGCCACCAUUGAUAAGCAUGGGACUGAGCAAAUGAGUAUCAAAAGGAAGUCAAGGAAGCUUCGUCCUCUGGGUUGCUUGCGAUGUAGUUCUCCAGCAGCUUCAGUGCCAAGUUGUAAACUUAUGCAUUUGGGGCUAUUAAAGGGAGGCAAUUGA